This 253-nucleotide ribosomal RNA is filed under the name uncultured prokaryote. RNAcentral's name for it is "partial 16S ribosomal RNA". It matches the Rfam family "Bacterial small subunit ribosomal RNA", at positions 525 to 777 of the family's 1533-position model. The record is from RNAcentral.
ACGGGGGGAGCAAGCGUUGUUCGGAUUUACUGGGCGUAAAGGGCGCGUAGGCGGCGUGACUAGUCACUUGUGAAAUCUCCGGGCUUAACUCGGAACGGUCAAGUGAUACUGUCGUGCUAGAGUACAGAAGGGGCAACUGGAAUUCUCGGUGUAGCGGUGAAAUGCGUAGAUAUCAAGAGGAACACCUGAGGUGAAGACGGGUUGCUGGGCUGACACUGACGCUGAUGCGCGAAAGCGUGGGGAGCAAACAGGA